RNA transcript from Telopea speciosissima, 1686 nucleotides. It is a transcript of the gene named trihelix transcription factor ASIL1-like, with no coding region annotated. The transcript has 3 exons. NCBI's taxonomy places the organism in Eukaryota, Viridiplantae, Streptophyta, Magnoliopsida, Proteales, Proteaceae. The record is from RefSeq and is a predicted model, not a curated record.
UGGGUUUUUUAUGAUUUGACUCCCUAAUAAGAAUCCCACCCUGGUGACGCUAUCGUCGAUCUGCUCAGAUCAGAUGCACGGCCGACGGCGUUCUUCUGCACCCCUUACCCAUUUGGUGGGGACGGAAUCGGAUGCCUAUCCUCUUCACCCCGUUUUAGUCGCCUCCUUCGCUUCCGGCGUACCAUAGCAUACCACCUAGUACCGACUCCCACUUCCCAACCUUUGCUUUUGCUCCACCACCGACACUGAGGUCAUCACUAAUCAGAGUCAACAACAGCUCAUGAAGGAUUCCAUGGAGGAUCAGGGUGCGCACGCCACCACGCGGUCUCACAAUCGCCACCCAUCUUUACCUCACAGCAGCGGCGGCGGCGGUGGUCGCGAAGACUGUUGGAGCGAAGGAGCCACCGGAACCCUAAUUGAAGCUUGGGGCGACCGUUAUCUCCGGCUAAGCCGUGGCAAUCUCCGUCAGAAAGACUGGAAGGAGGUCGCUGAUUCUGUUAAUGGACGUCAGGGAGGCAUCAAGCCCCGUAAAACCGAUAUUCAAUGCAAGAACCGUAUCGACACCCUGAAGAAAAAAUAUAAGCUGGAGAAGUCUAAGCCUGGGUCCUCCAGAUGGCCAUUUUACUCUCGUCUCGAUAUGCUCGUAGGCACCAAUUCCACCUCCUCCAACCUCAACAAAAAGCAUACUCCACCGCUGCUGCCGCUACCUGCGCCGCCAUCGUUUCUUAAGCCUCCCUCGGUCUCCUUCACAAUCAAGCAUUGCAAGGAUAAGAAAAAACCUAACCCUAACCCUAAUACCUCCGUCUAUUCCGCUGGCUCUUCGUCAAAGUCGAGGCUCAACUCCGCUGACUCAUCUGAGAGCUCUCGUGGUGGUUUGGGAGACGAUCGAGAUGAGGGUAUGUUGUUCAAUGGUGGCCUUCGGAAGCAUCGGAGGAUAGAUAGAGAUUCUUCGACUGAUGCGGUUGCGAUUAGGGAAUUGGCCAGAGCGAUUCUUAAGUUCGGGGAGAUUUAUGAGAAGGUUGAGAAUUCUAAGCAGGAACAGAUGAUGGAGUUGGAGAGGCAGAGAAUGGAGUUCACCAAGGAUCUUGAGUUCCAAAGGAUGCAAAUGUUUAUGGAAGCUCAGCUUGAGCUCGAAAAGAUGAAGCGCCCCAAGCAUGCGUCUAUUUCAGAUUCUCUACUGUGUUCCUUUCUGCUUUCUCAACUUUAAACCCGAGAAGAAUGAUAAGAAGGGCUGCAAGUCUCCUUCUUAAGGUUGCAAUAAGCGUGCGGACCCAGGGAAGUUGUAGUUGGAGAUAGCUUGAGAUUGACCACCUUGGUAGGUGAGGAUGACAUGCCAGGCGACCAUUCAUGAGCAAUGUCUCUUGAGGUAGAUCUUAACCUGAAGGAUAGUACAUAGUGUCUGUGAAAUAUUAUCUGUAGUUUUUGAAUUAUUUGAGAUGACAUGCUUAUAUGAUAUACUUGUACAUGCGUCUUAAUUACCGUAGGGGAUCUCUUUUUCUCUGAUUUUGAGUAAGUUUUUUUUAUUGCUACUUUGUGUCAAUUUGUUGAUACAUCAAUGUCAAGCAUCUAAGUAGUGAUGUUGCGGGAACUUCUGGUCUUUCAAGUUGAUUUACUGACGGGAGUAUUAAGCUGGAUCAUGCAGCAUCUUGGUAACCAAAAAGCUACUCAUGGUCGUUUGCUUGGAAA